Molecule: ribosomal RNA, 896 nt
Filed under: uncultured bacterium
Lineage: Bacteria
Description: bacterial SSU rRNA
Rfam family: Bacterial small subunit ribosomal RNA
Source: RNAcentral
AAGGCUGCUGCGUGCUUAACACAUGCAAGUCGAACGCGAAAGUUUUCUUCGGAAAACGAGUAGAGUGGCGCACGGGUGAGUAACGCGUAAGUAAUCUACCCUGGCAUCUGGGAUAACAAUUGGAAACGAUUGCUAAUACCGGAUACGUUGAUUUAUCAAGAAAGGUGGCCUCUUCAUGAAAGCUACUGUGCUAGGAGGAGCUUGCGUACCAUUAGCUAGUUGGUGGGGUAAUGGCCUACCAGGGCGACGAUGGUUAGCGGGUCUGAGAGGAUGAUCCGCCACACUGGAACUGAAACACGGACCAGACUCCUACGGGAGGCAGCAGUGAGGAAUAUUGCGCAAUGGGGGCAACCCUGACGCAGCGACGCCGCGUGGAUGAUGAAGGCCUUCGGGUCGUAAAAUCCUGUCAGAUGGGAAGAAGUGGUAAAUGGUUAAUACCCAUUUAUUUUGACGGUACCAUCAAAGGAAGCACCGGCUAACUCCGUGCCAGCAGCCGCGGUAAUACGGAGGGUGCAAGCGUUGUUCGGAAUUACUGGGCGUAAAGCGCGCGUAGGCGGCUUCUUAAGUCAGAUGUGAAAGUCCACGGCUCAACCGUGGAAGUGCAUUUGAAACUGGGGAGCUUGAGUAUCAGAGGGGAUAGUGGAAUUCCAGGUGUAGAGGUGAAAUUCGUAGAUAUCUGGAGGAAUACCGGUGGCGAAGGCGACUGUCUGGCUGAAUACUGACGCUGAGGUGCGAAAGCAUGGGGAGCAAACAGGAUUAGAUACCCUGGUAGUCCAUGCCGUAAACGAUGUCAACUAGGUGUUGGAGUGGUUAAUCACUUCAUUGCCGUAGCUAACGCAUUAAGUUGACCGCCUGGGGAGUACGGUCGCAAGAUUAAAACUCAUAUGAAUUGACGG